CCUACGGGAGGCAGCAGUGGGGAAUAUUGGACAAUGGGCGAAAGCCUGAUCCAGCAAUGCCGCGUGAGUGAUGAAGGCCUUAGGGUCGUAAAGCUCUUUUACCAGGGAUGAUAAUGACAGUACCUGGAGAAUAAGCUCCGGCUAACUCCGUGCCAGCAGCCGCGGUAAUACGGAGGGAGCUAGCGUUGUUCGGAAUUACUGGGCGUAAAGCGUACGUAGGCGGUUAUUCAAGUCAGAGGUGAAAGCCCGGGGCUCAACCCCGGAACGGCCUUUGAAACUAGAUAGCUAGAGUCUUGGAGAGGUCAGUGGAAUUCCGAGUGUAGAGGUGAAAUUCGUAGAUAUUCGGAAGAACACCAGUGGCGAAGGCGACUGACUGGACAAGUACUGACGCUGAGGUACGAAAGCGUGGGGAGCAAACAGGAUUAGAUACCCUGGUAGUCCACGCCGUAAACGAUGAUAACUAGCUGUCCGGGUACUUGGUAUCUGGUGGCGCGAGCUACGACAUUAAGUUAUUACCGUCCGUCGGGUAGGUACGGUCGGCGAAGAAGUUAAACUAACAAAGAAAGUUAGUACGGACGUGAGACGUGCGAACGACGACACGAGGGAGAG
Molecule: ribosomal RNA, 609 nt
Filed under: uncultured bacterium
Lineage: Bacteria
Description: bacterial SSU rRNA
Rfam family: Bacterial small subunit ribosomal RNA (bases 1-520)
Source: RNAcentral